RNAcentral lists this ribosomal RNA (613 nucleotides) under Lodderomyces parapsilosis. Its description in RNAcentral is "eukaryotic LSU rRNA". It matches the Rfam family "Eukaryotic large subunit ribosomal RNA", at positions 38 to 667 of the family's 3401-position model. The record is from RNAcentral. Lineage: Eukaryota; Fungi; Ascomycota; Pichiomycetes; Serinales; Debaryomycetaceae.
GCAUAUCAAUAAGCGGAGGAAAAGAAACCAACAGGGAUUGCCUUAGUAGCGGCGAGUGAAGCGGCAAAAGCUCAAAUUUGAAAUCUGGCACUUUCAGUGUCCGAGUUGUAAUUUGAAGAAGGUAUCUUUGGGUCUGGCUCUUGUCUAUGUUUCUUGGAACAGAACGUCACAGAGGGUGAGAAUCCCGUGCGAUGAGAUGACCCAGACCUAUGUAAAGUUCCUUCGAAGAGUCGAGUUGUUUGGGAAUGCAGCUCUAAGUGGGUGGUAAAUUCCAUCUAAAGCUAAAUAUUGGCGAGAGACCGAUAGCGAACAAGUACAGUGAUGGAAAGAUGAAAAGAACUUUGAAAAGAGAGUGAAAAAGUACGUGAAAUUGUUGAAAGGGAAGGGCUUGAGAUCAGACUUGGUAUUUUGUAUGUUACUCUCUCGGGGGUGGCCUCUACAGUUUACCGGGCCAGCAUCAGUUUGGGCGGUAGGAGAAUUGCAAAGAAAUGUGGCACUGCCUCGGUAGUGUGUUAUAGUCUUUGUCGAUACUACCAGCCUAGACUGAGGACUGCGGCUUCGGCCUAGGAUGUUGGCAUAAUGAUCUUAAGUCGCCCGUCUUGAAACACGGACC